GGGGCCGUGGGGUAGCCUGGGUAUCCUCUCGGCUUGGGGUGCCGGUGACCCGAGUUCAAAUCUCGGCGGCCCCA
RNAcentral lists this transfer RNA (74 nucleotides) under Archaeoglobus sp. RNAcentral's name for it is "tRNA-Pro". It matches the Rfam family "tRNA". Rfam says of the family: Transfer RNA (tRNA) molecules are approximately 80 nucleotides in length. RNAcentral also lists the same sequence under 3 other names. The record is from RNAcentral. Lineage: Archaea; Methanobacteriati; Methanobacteriota; Archaeoglobi; Archaeoglobales; Archaeoglobaceae.